Molecule: long non-coding RNA, 1581 nt
Organism: Leopardus geoffroyi (Geoffroy's cat)
Lineage: Eukaryota; Metazoa; Chordata; Mammalia; Carnivora; Felidae
Exons: 3
Source: RefSeq, a predicted model, not a curated record
CAGCGUUCCAUUGGGGGGUGGGGGUGGAGGAUGGGGAAGAAAGGCAGCCGGGUGUCAGGCAGAGUGUGUGCAGGGGGGUGGGGAGCCGGUUCCCAUCACACACCCGGGAGGCCAGACUGCCAUCCUGGCCGCCCACCCCCGGCUGACUGCGCUUCUCACGACACGUCUGAGCACCAGAGGCCGCAGAGCCCGUGGCAGGCCCGGCCCGGGGUGCUGUCCACCCACCCUGCCCCGCUUCCGGCCAGUGCAGUCACGUCUCUUCCCCACGUUGGCCCGGCCGUCAGGGCCACGGACGGACCCCCGCACAUGGCGCAGUGCCCCCGUCCCCAGGCCUCCGCCCCAUCCUGAGUGGACAAACCCGGCUUCACAGCUCACCUUCCCAGCUGCCACCAAUAGCACCCAUCCAGGUGGCCUCCAAGGGGGCAAAUGACGCAAUUUCUGUGGCGAGUCACACGGUGUCCCCUAAAGCUCCCCCUGAUGCCGUAUUGAGGCAUGGGGAGGGCAGAGGUCCAUGGUCUGAGAUAGGUUCCUUCGACACCACCCAGGAGAGUUGGGUGUAAGCCUACGGCUCCUUCUACAUCAGCCAAUCCAAUCUACAUCAGGGACCCUGAACCCUGUGAGCCCCUUUUUCCUUCCAGCUUAAGGAAGCAGCCAGCCCUCCAGCAGCUUUUGGGUCCUGGCUGGGCCACCAAGGGUAAAUGUCCGGCUGUCCACAUGCUGGCAGCAUUGCUCUAGCAAAUGUCAACAUGAGCAGCUGCUGUACGGGGGAUUCUCCUCCAUUGUGAUCAGGGCCUGGGACAAAACAUGACGAGAGAGACAGAGACAGGAGUGCCCUGUGCUCCUGGACAGGGCUGCAUGCACAGAGCAGAUAGCCUGAAGCCUGGGGAGAGGUGGACAAAGAGACAGGUAAGGAGAGAGAAACUGGAUGAGUGAUAGGGGGAUGGGGCAAGACCGAGAGAGUGAAAGGAAGAAACACAGAGAGGUGUGGUUAGAGAGAAACAGAGACAGAGAGGAAGUACAAGGAGAAAGGUGGAGACGUGGUCCAGGUAUGUGGACGGGGCGAGAUGGGCCAGGGGAGAGGGGAUGUGGGAAGUGGCUCUGAGUGUUGGGGCAGAAAGGGCUGGUAUCAUGGGCAUCAUAGUCUCAUGACUCUAAGACUCCAACGUCCCUGGGGCCAAGCUCUGCAGAGGCCAUUGCAAUUGAAAAGAUGGGCAUCCGUCAGUUCUCCUGGAAUUGCGGGGCUCAGCGUUAUGUUCUGUCAUGGAGAAGGAUGUCUUCAGGGAGAGUGUGCUGCUCUUUGGCAGGUCCGGCAGUCUGGACCUGGCAGAGUUGAACUGCUGAUAGUGAUAAAAAGGAUUUGACAAGAAGGUCCAUAUUCUCCCUCUGGAACGAGCGGUGUGCAUCCAAAUCGUGGGUUGCUAUCCUCCUGUCCACAACCAAUCUGAGGAUUCCAGAAGGACUCAUGGAUUGCGGGGUCCCACGACAUCACCUCAUCGAUGCAGUCGAUGGUUUGUUCCCGAUUCAGGCUCGUUUCCGGGAAGAAACCCUGACGGAAAUUCCGAGGAACGGGAGCCGCAUUCC